CUGGUCUUAACCUGCAAAGCUCCUCUGAGACAGACAAAAAAGACAACAAAGAGACACAAGCCUGGAAAACCACCAUAACCAGACAGAAAGGAGGGAAGACAAGAGGGAGGCGGAGAGAGAAGAAUGGAUGCAGAGAUCGAGAGGAUGCUUUCGACAAAAUGGCAUGAAUCGCAUGAACUCUGAUUCAUCCCCAUGUCCUGGAAACAAAUGCGCAAUUGAGUGUGUUUGGAAAGAGGUAGAAGAGAAAGAGGGAAGGCAGACCAAGAAGACAAGAGACAGAAGAGGAGAGAUGGUAGACAUGAGCUGUGAUUCAGUGUCAUAUCCUUGUGCUUCCUGAAUUUCUCUGCCUCGCAACAAUUUGUUGCCAGAUCUGCAGGAGCUCCAGUCUUUGCCAGAUUAUCUCACCUCUAGAGUGUCUUGCUCCCGGUGGCGGAAUCUGCUAAACGUUUGGAGCCUUCACUGCCUUCCAUUUCACUGCCUGCCUGCUCUCCCCACCAUGGACUCUAGCCUCAGCAUACCAGCCAGCACCCUCCUCUCCUAUCUGGACUCUCCUCUACUGCAGAAAGGACUACCAACCUGACCACUGGAUGCAUUAUUCCUUACAACCCACCUAAGUCUUUUUCUGUAUCUAGCGCCUCUCCUUUCCUGAGGUUUUGCCCCCCCCCCCCCC
This is a long non-coding RNA of Gasterosteus aculeatus aculeatus (three-spined stickleback), 670 nucleotides long. The record is from Ensembl. NCBI's taxonomy places the organism in Eukaryota, Metazoa, Chordata, Actinopteri, Perciformes, Gasterosteidae.